Molecule: transfer RNA, 74 nt
Filed under: Treponema primitia ZAS-2
Lineage: Bacteria; Pseudomonadati; Spirochaetota; Spirochaetia; Treponematales; Treponemataceae
Description: tRNA-Ile (TAT) (tRNA-Ile-TAT-1-1)
Rfam family: tRNA
About the family: Transfer RNA (tRNA) molecules are approximately 80 nucleotides in length. Their secondary structure includes four short double-helical elements and three loops (D, anti-codon, and T loops).
Source: Rfam by way of RNAcentral
AGGCGAGUAGCUCCAACAGUCAGAGCGGGACUCUUAUAAGGUCACGGUUGAUGGUGCAAAUCCAUCCUCGCCUA